UUAUUGAAAAGAGCGGGUAUCAGGCACUGCCGUGGGUGAGGUACAUUACGAUGGCAGGCGAGUAUGAAUUAAGACUCAUCUAAUCGUCUUUCUGGUACUGAUCGUCACUUGGAUCAUGGCCGUGCGGUAUUGCUUAUGUUUUUGGCAGUGAAAUUUUGCGAUUUAUCAGUCUUGUGUCUUGUAAUCAAACAUCAGUGGGUAGUGCAACAAAUUGUUAGUUAUUUGAAGAUUAUAAGAUUUAUUAUUGA
Molecule: unclassified non-coding RNA, 248 nt
Filed under: Hevea brasiliensis (rubber tree)
Lineage: Eukaryota; Viridiplantae; Streptophyta; Magnoliopsida; Malpighiales; Euphorbiaceae
Source: RNAcentral